Molecule: ribosomal RNA, 301 nt
Filed under: uncultured bacterium
Lineage: Bacteria
Description: partial 16S ribosomal RNA
Rfam family: Bacterial small subunit ribosomal RNA
Source: RNAcentral
CAGUAGCCGCGGUAAAACGAAGGGGGCUAGCGUUGCUCGGAAUCACUGGGCGUAAAGGGUGCGUAGGCGGGUCUUUAAGUCAGGGGUGAAAUCCUGGAGCUCAACUCCAGAACUGCCUUUGAUACUGAAGAUCUUGAGUUCGGGAGAGGUGAGUGGAACUGCGAGUGUAGAGGUGAAAUUCGUAGAUAUUCGCAAGAACACCAGUGGCGAAGGCAGCCCCCUGGGCCAAUACUGACGCUCAUGCACGAAAGCGUGGGGAGCAAACAGGAUUAGAUACCCCGGUAGUCCCUGUCUCUUAUAA